UAGCCUGGAUUCUGAUGACAGCUCAUAUGGCAUCCCUGAUCUGCCCUAUGAUACACCAUCUGAGGACGGAUCCUCAAAGGAGAUCCCUGACUGGAGGCUUCCAGUGGUCCCCACCAAUACACCAUCUAGCUCCUACAGGGUGGAGAGCCCUGUGUGGAAGGACCCUGUCCUAAUUUUUGACCCUGAUCUGCCCCCUGAGACACCUAAGUGGGCGUGGGAGAGGU
This is a long non-coding RNA of Pseudophryne corroboree (corroboree frog), 224 nucleotides long. RefSeq lists it as uncharacterized. The transcript has 8 exons. The record is from RefSeq and is a predicted model, not a curated record. NCBI's taxonomy places the organism in Eukaryota, Metazoa, Chordata, Amphibia, Anura, Myobatrachidae.